This 468-nucleotide ribosomal RNA is filed under the name uncultured bacterium. Its description in RNAcentral is "partial 16S ribosomal RNA". It matches the Rfam family "Bacterial small subunit ribosomal RNA", at positions 29 to 507 of the family's 1533-position model. The record is from RNAcentral.
CACGAACGCUGGCGGCGUUCUUAACACAUCCAAGUCAAACGGAAAGGCCCUUCUUUUUUGGUGUGCUCGAGUGGCUAACGGCUGAGUAACCCGGGAGUAACCUGCCCUUUACUUUGGGAUAACUUCAGGAAACUGGGGCUACUAGCUGAUAGGAGCGCCUGCUGCAUGUUGCGUGUUGGAUAGUUUCGGCUGUUGGGGAUGGACUCCCGGCUUAUCAUCUUGUUGGUGGGGUAGUGGCUUACCAAGGCUUUGACGGGUAGCCGGCCUGAGAGGGUGACCGGCCACAUUGGGACUGAGAUACGGCCCAGACUCCUACGGGAGGCAGCAGUGGGGAAUAUUGCACAAUGGGCGGAAGCCUGAUGCAGCAACGCCGCGUGCGGGAUGACGGCCUUCGGGUUGUAAACCGUUUUCGCCUGUGACGAAGCGUGAGUGACGGUAAUGGGUAAAGAAGCACCGGCUAACUACGUG